GUGCUGGAGUGAAGAAUCCAGGAAUCAGCCAUCUAACAUUUCUUAAAAGUAAUUGACUUCUGCUCUGGUGCUAAACACCUUCUUGCAGGACUACAGGAAGAGCCAUACAAGCUGCCCUAGAGCACUAUUCACAACAGUUUGAUGCAAGUCAUCAGACCAAGGAUCAGUAGCCUUGGGAGAAGAAGCCAUAUUAUAUUCAUACCUGGAAUCUUGCAGGUACACUGACUUUCACCAUAAGGCAGCCAUCAAGGGAGAAGGAGAGAGAGGAAGGAAAGAAAGGAACAUUGACUGGAGCAGGAAAGUUGAGAGAAUUUAAGAAGGGUAGCAAAGGGGAAAGGCUUACCACAGGAGAGUGUGUGCAAGCAAUGGUGGACAACAGAAUGGAUGAAGAGAUACAUGCCAGAGACCUGCGUACACACACAAGAUGCAUCUAAAUGAAGAUCAGAGACCUGGUAAUUCUUUGGUUUUAUUCCUGGUGGAUUAUUAACAUUGAAUGGACUACGUUUUCCCUCUGAAGCAGCAACCUGAUUAUUGUCUAGAGCAUACAUUAAAAGCACUAGAAAAAAAAAGUCAGUACAAACUAAAAUUACAUACAGAUGACGACUUGUUUAUACUGCUCUAUAUACUAUACACUGAAAUCUAAGACUUUGGAGAUGAAGGAAAUGAAAAAAAAAUUCUAACUCAGAAGACAUUUCAGGUCAACUAUACAACCCGGACACAUGAAAUUAAAAAAAAAAAAAAAAUCUUCUAUGCCUUAUACACAUAACACCUGAAACCGAACAACCACCACCAAAAAGGAACAAGAAAAUACUGAGGUAAAUCCUUCACCUUUUUAUAUUGUUAUGUUUGGAACAUAGCAAUAGACUGAGCUUUUAGGAUAUGCUGAACAUUCAAUAUACAAUGGCAGAUUAA
This is a long non-coding RNA of Mauremys reevesii (Reeves's turtle), 912 nucleotides long. RefSeq lists it as uncharacterized. The transcript has 8 exons. The record is from RefSeq and is a predicted model, not a curated record. Lineage: Eukaryota; Metazoa; Chordata; Testudines; Geoemydidae.